This 445-nucleotide ribosomal RNA is filed under the name uncultured bacterium. RNAcentral's name for it is "partial 16S ribosomal RNA". It matches the Rfam family "Bacterial small subunit ribosomal RNA", at positions 354 to 796 of the family's 1533-position model. The record is from RNAcentral.
GUGAGGAAUAUUGCGCAAUGGAGGCAACUCUGACGCAGCCAUGCCGCGUGCAGGAAGAAGGCGCUACGCGUUGUAAACUGCUUUUAACCGGGAAGAAACCCCAGGACGUGUCCUGGGUUGACGGUACCGGAGGAAUAAGCACCGGCUAACUUCGUGCCAGCAGCCGCGGUAAUACGAAGGGUGCAAGCGUUAUCCGGAUUCAUUGGGUUUAAAGGGUGCGUAGGCGGAGCGUUAAGUCAGUGGUGAAAUCCUGCAGCUUAACUGUAGACUUGCCAUUGGUACUGGCGCUCUUGAGUGCGCUUGAAGUGGGCGGAAUGUGCCGUGUAGCGGUGAAAUGCUUAGAUAUGGCACAGAACACCAAUUGCGAAGGCAGCUCACUAAGGCGAUACUGACGCUGAGGCACGAAAGCGUGGGGAUCGAACAGGAUUAGAAACCCUUGUAGUCC